UACGGAGGGGGCUAGCGUUGUUCGGAAUUACUGGGCGUAAAGCGCGCGUAGGCGGCUUUGUAAGUUAGAGGUGAAAGCCCAGGGCUCAACCCUGGAAUUGCCUUUAAGACUGCAUCGCUUGAACAUCGGAGAGGUAAGUGGAAUUCCGAGUGUAGAGGUGAAAUUCGUAGAUAUUCGGAAGAACACCAGUGGCGAAGGCGACUUACUGGACGAUUGUUGACGCUGAGAUGCGAAAGCGUGGGGAGCAAACAGG
RNAcentral lists this ribosomal RNA (253 nucleotides) under uncultured bacterium. RNAcentral describes it as "partial 16S ribosomal RNA". It matches the Rfam family "Bacterial small subunit ribosomal RNA", at positions 524 to 776 of the family's 1533-position model. The record is from RNAcentral.